Molecule: ribosomal RNA, 263 nt
Filed under: uncultured bacterium
Lineage: Bacteria
Description: partial 16S ribosomal RNA
Rfam family: Bacterial small subunit ribosomal RNA
Source: RNAcentral
GUCCUAGCCGUAAACGAUGCAUACUUGGUGUAGCUGGACUCAACCCCGGCUGUGCCGUAGCAAACGCGUUAAGUAUGCCGCCUGGGGAGUACGCCCGCAAGGGUGAAACUCAAAAGAAUUGACGGGGACCCGCACAAGCAGUGGAGCAUGUGGUUUAAUUCGAUGCAACGCGAAGAACCUUACCCAGGCUUGACAUGCAGUAGACAGCGCCAGAAAUGGCGUCUUCCUUCGGGACUGCUGCACAGGUGCUGCAUGGCUGUCGU